GAAUUUCGGUUGGGGAUGGGCUCGCGGCCUAUCAGCUUGUUGGUGAGGUAAUGGCUCACCAAGGCGUCGACGGGUAGCCGGCCUGAGAGGGUGACCGGCCACACUGGGACUGAGACACGGCCCAGACUCCUACGGGAGGCAGCAGUGGGGAAUAUUGCACAAUGGGCGCAAGCCUGAUGCAGCAACGCCGCGUGAGGGACGACGGCCUUCGGGUUGUAAACCUCUUUUAGCAGGGAAGAAGCGAAAGUGACGGUACCUGCAGAAAAAGCGCCGGCUAACUACG
Molecule: ribosomal RNA, 283 nt
Filed under: Clavibacter sp. AD(2010)
Lineage: Bacteria; Bacillati; Actinomycetota; Actinomycetes; Micrococcales; Microbacteriaceae
Also listed under: 3 other names
Description: partial 16S ribosomal RNA
Rfam family: Bacterial small subunit ribosomal RNA
Source: RNAcentral